Dunckerocampus dactyliophorus (ringed pipefish) is the source of this 649-nucleotide long non-coding RNA. RefSeq lists it as uncharacterized. The transcript has 3 exons. NCBI's taxonomy places the organism in Eukaryota, Metazoa, Chordata, Actinopteri, Syngnathiformes, Syngnathidae. The record is from RefSeq and is a predicted model, not a curated record.
GUCCCGCUGUGAAUUGACUGUGGAAAAUACACUCCAGUGUGCAGCCGGCCGCUCCCCGUGUCCCUGAUUUAUCCGAAUAGGAUGUGGCUGAUGGGCGUACAUAAAGCGCUGUGAAUGGGCCAGAGGCGGGUCUGGGAAGAGGAGGGUGCUGCAACUUAUGAAGAUGUGGUUGAGGUCCGGAUUGCAGGGGCAGCAGUCUUAGUAAGGAAGUCCAGACUUCCUGGUCUUCAGCCACCUCUUCCAGUUUUACCGGGGGGACAUUCAGGCGUUCCCAGGCCAGCGGUGAGACAUAAUCCCUCCAGCGUGUCCUAGGUCUGCCCCAGGGUCUCCUCCUGCCUGGCUUUAUGCCCUUCACGUUAUGUCUUAGGGUAAGUCCAGCCACCCUACGGAGGAAACUCAUUUUGGCCACUUGUAACCGCGAUCUCAUUCUUUCAGUCACGACUCAAAGCUUAUGACCCCAGGUGAGGUAGGAACAUAGAUUGAUCGGUAAAUUGAGAGCUCUCAAAAAAAAACAAAAAAUUAUGAACAGAAUCGGUGACAAAGGGCAGCCUUGGUGGAGGCCAUCGUUUACCUGGAACAGGCUCCACUUACUGCUGGCAAAGCCAAGCAGGCUCCUGCUCAGGUUGACCGAAAAGACGGAAAAACCGAA